GACGAACGCUGGCGGCAUGCCUCAUACAUGCAAGUCGAACGAAGCUAGCAAUAGCUUAGUGGCGGACGGGUGAGUAACACGUGAGCAACCUGCCUUGUACAUUGGGAUAACACAGAGAAAUUUGUGCUAAUACCGAAUAAGACCACACUACCGCAUGGUAGAGGGGUAAAAGCGAUUUAGCGGUACAAGAUGGGCUCGCGGCCCAUUAGCUAGUUGGUAAGAUAACAGCCUACCAAGGCCACGAUGGGUAGCCGGCUUGAGAGAGUGAUCGGCCACAUUGGAACUUAGACACGGUCCAAACUCCUACGGGAGGCAGCAGUAGGGAAUAUUGGGCAAUGGAGAAACUCUGACCCAGCAAUGCCGCGUGAAUGAAGAAGGUCUUCGGAUUGUAAAGUUCUUUGA
RNAcentral lists this ribosomal RNA (402 nucleotides) under uncultured bacterium. RNAcentral describes it as "bacterial SSU rRNA". It matches the Rfam family "Bacterial small subunit ribosomal RNA", at positions 28 to 438 of the family's 1533-position model. The record is from RNAcentral.